AUGAUUGGCUGCACCUCUGAUGAAAAUAAAAGUUACAGAAACCCUGACUUAUUUAAAAAUAUAUGUCUGGUUUUUCUAACACCAAUGUCUUUGUGUCUCCAACUGCUCUGGAAAUGUCUCACUUCAAAACUAUCAGGGGGCACUGUGGGGCAUUCACUUCUCUCUCCCUGGGCAGCAAAAUCUCAGUCUGCUGCUACAGAGAUAAUUAGUGAUACAUUCUGGAGUGAACCUUACCUCUGCUGGUGUGUGGACGCUGUGGAAUCAUCACUGAUACAAUGAAGGGGGCUGUUGAAUUACAGACAUGGAGUUGGCCUGGCAAAUGCGGCAAAUUAAUAAUACAUCACCAGAAGGCUUGGAAGCCUUUUACUGUGGUUGCUCUGUCCUCCCAGUUCUCCUUCUUUGAAGACAUAAACUUAAAUAUGUAUGGGUUAACAUUUCAGCAACAAAGACCAGUUUAUUCUCUCUGAGGAGAACACCAAUACUCAAAAGAUUUCCAUCAAUUCAUAGUGCUUACUUGUAGAAUGUUUUCUUUAUUUCUGUAGCAUUUUAUCUAAGCUGCUACAUUAUUGUCUUUCUGGGAUAUUUAUUCUGCAGUCCUCUUUCUCAAAGCCUCUUAGAAAAUGCCUUGUUGAUGAUCAUCUGGCCACGAUCACUUGACAUGCUAAGAUUUAAGGGAUAUGUUCAAGCAGGUUAUCAUCAGGCAUUCUCUAUAUUUCAAAUGUUCUUACAUUUGUCUGUUCAAGGUUACUCAGAAAAAAUAAUUAUGUAAUAUAUUCAGACACAUUUCUUACAUUUGCAAGAAAUAUUCUAUGUAGAGUGCUACUCACACAGAUGUAUCCAUACCAUAUAUAUAGAUUUAUAUAGCUGACUGCGGAUAUCAGCAAUACCUUUAUAUUUACAUAUUUUAAAUAUGAAGACCCUAUAACCCUAGUAGAGACAUUUUUGAAAACUGGAAAAGAUGCCCUGAAUACCACCACCUUCAUAUAUUAUUGUUAGCAUGUUAUUGUAUUUCCUUCCAGUAAUCUGAUGCAUCUUAUACUGUGUAUCACUAUGUACACAAUGUUACAUCUGGUCUUUAAUCACUUAAAAUCACAACAUAAGCACUUUUUAAUGCCUCCUACAUAGUCUUUUAACUAUCAUGUAACUUCUGGAAUCAUAUCGCAUCAAAUGUACUUCACCUUGCCAUUAUUGGAUAUCUAGAUAAAUUCCAAUAUCAUGCCAUUAGAAAUACUAUGGUUUUAGUAUCUUCAUCCUUGAAGAUUUUAUCCUAGAUUUUGGAUUACUAUUUCUUUAGGAUAGAUCUCCAGAUAGGUUAUUAUUUGGUCACUAGUUAAAACUAUUUUUAUCAAAUUUGAUACAAUAUUACCAAAUAACUUUCCAAAAUGUAAUGACACCAGUAGUGUUUAAGUGCCAUUUUCAUGAUACUUUUGCCAUGCUGAUUUUUAUCAUUACUACUUAUUUACAUACUAAAUUUCUUAGGUGGAAAAAAAUUAGUAAGACUGAACAUCUUUUCAUUUGCUUGGUUUCUAGUUUCUUUGUGUGUGUGACAUAUCUGGCGUGUUCUUUGAGUGUGCUCUUAAAAUUGUCUUAUUGACUGCAUAUACUGUUGUUUCCUUGAAUUUCCACAUUAAAAUCUCUUAAUAUUCAGUACAUAGAUACUGAAAGUAAGUUACGAUCAAUUUCUAGAAUCUGUUCAUAUGGAUAAAGAUAAAAUAUAUCCCCAGUAUUUCUCCAGAAUAUUUUUAAAUUUGUAUUUUGAUUAUUUUAUACAAGGAAGCUUAAAAUGUUUGCAUAUUAACAUGUUUUCAUGCACGAAAAUCUUUUCAUAAUAUUUAUAACCUUAUGUACACAGUGUCAAUGCUUCUCAUAAAGUUUCAUCUUCUAGUUCCUUGCAUUUAAAACACAAUUUAAUUUUAAAUAUGUACCUAGAAUUUUUUCUAGUGUAUGGUGAAGUGAACAUUUUUUUAACCAUGUUUUAAAUCAGUUCUUACAACAUAAUUCAAGUUUCCCGCCAGUUUGCCUUGCCUCUGUUAUCAGCUAUUAAUUAUUUAUGAACCAAAAUAUCUACUUUUGACCUGUCUAUUCUAUUUCAGUGUUUUUAAAUUUCAUAUUCUAGGACUAGACCUGCAGUCCUUUAACUAUUACAACCUAUAAUAGUUAAUCCCUUCUACUUUACAUUUCUUUUAAAUAUUUUCUUUUAUAAUUUCUCAAAUUAUAUCUCUCAAAUAAAACUUAUGGAAUCUUUUAAAAAUAAAGUUUA
This 2260-nucleotide long non-coding RNA is filed under the name Felis catus (domestic cat). RNAcentral describes it as "lncRNA (ENSFCAG00000049086.1)". Lineage: Eukaryota; Metazoa; Chordata; Mammalia; Carnivora; Felidae. The record is from RNAcentral.